Molecule: ribosomal RNA, 372 nt
Filed under: uncultured organism
Description: bacterial SSU rRNA
Rfam family: Bacterial small subunit ribosomal RNA
Source: RNAcentral
CAGAGGUCCCAAGCGUUGUUCGGAUUCACUGGGCGUAAAGGGUGCGUAGGCGGUCGGAUAAGUCUGAUGUGAAAUCUUCGAGCUCAACUCGGAAACUGCAUCGGAAACUAUUUGGCUAGAGGAUUGGAGGGGAGACUGGAAUUCUCGGUGUAGCAGUGAAAUGCGUAGAUAUCGAGAGGAACACCAGUGGCGAAGGCGAGUCUCUGGACAGUUCCUGACGCUGAGGCACGAAAGCUAGGGGAGCAAACAGGAUUAGAUACCCUGGUAGUCCUAGCCCUAAACGGUGCACGUUUGCUGUAAGAGGAAUCGACCCCUUUUGUGGCGAAGCUAACGCGUUAAACGUGCCGCCUGGGAAGUACGGCCGCAAGGUUA